RNAcentral lists this ribosomal RNA (481 nucleotides) under uncultured bacterium. RNAcentral's name for it is "partial 16S ribosomal RNA". It matches the Rfam family "Bacterial small subunit ribosomal RNA", at positions 28 to 507 of the family's 1533-position model. The record is from RNAcentral.
GAUGAACGCUGGCGGCGUGCUUAACACAUGCAAGUCGAACGAAGCACUUUAUUUGAUUUCCUUCGGGACUGAUUAUUUUGUGACUGAGUGGCGGACGGGUGAGUAACGCGUGGGUAACCUGCCUUGUACAGGGGGAUAACAGUUGGUAACGGCUGCUAAUACCGCAUAAGCGCACAGCAUCGCAUGAUGCAGUGUGAAAAACUCCGGUGGUAUAAGAUGGACCCGCGUUGGAUUAGCUAGUUGGUGAGGUAACGGCCCACCAAGGCGACGAUCCAUAGCCGACCUGAGAGGGUGACCGGCCACAUUGGGACUGAGACACGGCACAAACUCCUACGGGAGGCAGCAGUGGGGAAUAUUGCACAAUGGGCGAAAGCCUGAUGCAGCGACGCCGCGUGAGCGAAGAAGUAUUUCGGUAUGUAAAGCGCUAUCAGCAGGGAAGAUAAUGACGGUACCUGACUAAGAAGCACCGGCUAAAUACGUG